RNAcentral lists this transfer RNA (73 nucleotides) under Felis catus (domestic cat). It matches the Rfam family "tRNA". Rfam says of the family: Transfer RNA (tRNA) molecules are approximately 80 nucleotides in length. Their secondary structure includes four short double-helical elements and three loops (D, anti-codon, and T loops). Further hydrogen bonds mediate the characteristic L-shaped molecular structure. tRNAs have two regions of fundamental functional importance: the anti-codon, which is responsible for specific mRNA codon recognition, and the 3' end, to which the tRNAs corresponding amino acid is attached (by aminoacyl-tRNA synthetases). tRNAs cope with the degeneracy of the genetic code in two manners: having more than one tRNA (with a specific anti-codon) for a particular amino acid; and 'wobble' base-pairing, i.e. permitting non-standard base-pairing at the 3rd anti-codon position. The record is from Rfam by way of RNAcentral. Lineage: Eukaryota; Metazoa; Chordata; Mammalia; Carnivora; Felidae.
GCCCGGCUGGCUCGGUCGGAGGAGCAGGUGACUCCUGACCCCAGGGUUGUGAGUUCAAGCCCCACGCCGGGCA